UUAUUUCAUACUACAAAAUAUGGAAGAAAAAAAACCUGUGCAAGAAUAUGCCAAGUGCCAAGCACAGAGAUAAAGCAGGGGAAAACGGGUGUAAAGAUGGAACAGCCCACAAAAAAUCGUUAAAUUAGAUUAAGAAGAACUAAUGAAGUUAUAAAACAUAAACACAGAAAAACAGAUAGAAAUAUUCUAUCAAACAUCCCAACUUUUUCUGAUAAAUAAAUUCAUGACUACAUUAGAGAGAUCAGCAUACUCAUUCCGGCGACAAGGAUCAUCCGGACACAUUUGGGACAAUAGACCCGCGGGACGCGAGCCGCCGCCACCAACAACAACAACAAGGGUUCAUGGAACAUCAAAUGUUGCUACCAAUUCUGUCGGAAUGGAAACAAAUGAUAAAGCAUCCCAAAGCACCACAACCAGGGGCAGACCCACGUUGAGCAAAGGGGGUGUUGAGAGACAUCACUUCAUCGGAAAUUUUGACUACUAUAUAUUUUAAUUACUUGACAAUGGAUCCCUCUUGGCGCUUUGGUUCA
Molecule: long non-coding RNA, 530 nt
Organism: Solanum pennellii
Lineage: Eukaryota; Viridiplantae; Streptophyta; Magnoliopsida; Solanales; Solanaceae
Exons: 2
Source: RefSeq, a predicted model, not a curated record